RNAcentral lists this transfer RNA (68 nucleotides) under Holcosus undulatus (rainbow ameiva). RNAcentral's name for it is "tRNA-Trp". Lineage: Eukaryota; Metazoa; Chordata; Lepidosauria; Squamata; Teiidae. The record is from RNAcentral.
GAAAUAUNGGCUAAAUAUGUAAACCACGGACCUUCAAAGCCCGAACUGUGAACAACUCACUAUUUCUG